RNAcentral lists this ribosomal RNA (429 nucleotides) under Gemmatimonadota bacterium. Its description in RNAcentral is "Gemmatimonadetes bacterium partial 16S ribosomal RNA". It matches the Rfam family "Bacterial small subunit ribosomal RNA", at positions 355 to 776 of the family's 1533-position model. Lineage: Bacteria; Pseudomonadati; Gemmatimonadota. The record is from RNAcentral.
UAGGGAAUCUUCGGCAAUGGACGAAAGUCUGACCGAGCAACGCCGCGCGAGUGAAGAAGGUUUUCGGAUCGUAAAAUUCUGUUGUUAGAGAAGAACAAGGACGUUAGUAACUGAACGUCCUCUGACGGUAUCUAACCAGAAAGCCACGGCUAACUACGUGCCAGCAGCCGCGGUAAUACGUAGGUGGCAAGCGUUGUCCGGAUUUAUUGGGCGUAAAGCGAGCGCAGGCGGUUUCUUAAGUCUGAUGUGAAAGCCCCCGGCUCAACCGGGGAGGGUCAUUGGGAACUGGGAGACUUGAGUGCAGAAGAGGGGAGUGGAAUUCCAUGUGUAGCGGUGAAAUGCGUAGAUAUAUGGAGGAACACCAGUGGCGAAGGCGGCUCUCUGGUCUGUAACUGACGCUGAGGCUCGAAAGCGUGGGGAGCAAACAGG